RNAcentral lists this non-coding RNA (245 nucleotides) under Bacillus sp. (in: firmicutes). Its description in RNAcentral is "Bacillus sp. T-box sequence". It matches the Rfam family "T-box leader". Rfam says of the family: Uncharged tRNA acts as the effector for transcription antitermination of genes in the T-box leader family. T-boxes are found upstream of many aminoacyl-tRNA synthetase genes and some amino acid biosynthetic genes usually in Gram-positive bacteria. Lineage: Bacteria; Bacillati; Bacillota; Bacilli; Caryophanales; Bacillaceae. The record is from RNAcentral.
CGAAAAGCGUUGAAGAGGAAAGUAUAGUAGGGACGUUUGAUAGAGAGCUUCUGAUGGUGGAAAUGAAGCAAACAAACCUAGUGGAAAAUGGCCUCGGAGCUGCGUACCGAACGAAUAGUAGGCUACGACGAGAAAGGCACUCGUUACAACAGCAGCAGUAUCUCGCAUGCGACGUACUGAAUGAGGCUAAUGGUGUGAGCUAUUAGUGAAUAUAGGUGGUAUCACGUUAAUUCAACGUCCUAAUC